UUGACCGUCAGGGAGAAUGAAGACGACUUAACCACAGAACAGAUAUAGAUGGGCAGUGGCAGUUCAAGCUUCACACACUGCCCCACUGAUGUGCCUCAUGGAUAGGCCCCCUUGGAAUGAGAAGGUAGCUGUGUCUUAAGAGCUAAUUCAGUCCUCAGUUUUU
Molecule: small RNA, 163 nt
Filed under: Chrysemys picta bellii (western painted turtle)
Lineage: Eukaryota; Metazoa; Chordata; Testudines; Emydidae
Description: TUC338 (ENSCPBG00000023554.1)
Source: RNAcentral